This 406-nucleotide ribosomal RNA is filed under the name uncultured bacterium. RNAcentral's name for it is "partial 16S ribosomal RNA". It matches the Rfam family "Bacterial small subunit ribosomal RNA", at positions 30 to 526 of the family's 1533-position model. The record is from RNAcentral.
AUUGAACGCUGGCGGCAGGCUUAACACAUGCAAGUCGAGCGAGCGGCGGACGGGUGAGUAAUGUCUGGGAAACUGCCUGAUGGAGGGGGAUAACUCCUGGAAACGGUAGCUAAUACCGCAUACCAUCCGAUGUGCCCAGAUGGGAUUAGCUAGUAGGUGGGGUAAUGGCUCACCUAGGCGAAGAUCCCUAGCUGGUCUGAGAGGAUGACCAGCGAAACUGGAACUGGGACACGGGCCAGAAUACUACGGGAGGAAGCAGGGGGGAAUAUUGCACAAUGGGCGCAAGCCUGAUCCAGCAAUACCGCGGGUGUGAAGAAGGCCCUAGGGUUGUAAAGCACGUUUGUUAGGGAGAUGUUACCUAAAGAAUAAGCACCGGCUAACUCCGUGCCAGCAGCCGCGGUAAUAC